UCAGUGGCAACCUGUUUUACAGGCUAAUCGAUUGGCAAAUCGAUUGUACACAUCACAAAGUAAAACUGAUUGAAACAAAUCGAUUGGGAAAUCGAUUGGGCAAGUCACAGUGACAAUCCAUUUUCUAGGGUAAUCGAUUGGCAAAUCGAUUGCUUAGAUAAUAUUUGAAAAAUAACUUGACCUGUGACAAACACAAUCGAUUGGACAAUCUAUUGUGAAAAUUUCAAUCAUGUUAAGUUUGGUUUUAAUCGAUUGGGAAAUCGAUUGAACUAAACAUCUGGUAAGAACUUUUCAGGCAAAUACUACCAAAUCGAUUGGCACUUCGAUUAACAUGAAAAUAGCUAAGUCACUGCUUUGAACACAAUCGAUUGGCAAAUCGAUUG
Molecule: long non-coding RNA, 383 nt
Filed under: Cicer arietinum (chickpea)
Lineage: Eukaryota; Viridiplantae; Streptophyta; Magnoliopsida; Fabales; Fabaceae
Description: long non-coding RNA (CARI_LNC003223)
Source: RNAcentral